AACGAACGCUGGCGGCGCGCCUAAUACAUGCAAGUCGAGCGAGAAGGUGUAGCAAUACACUUGUAAAGCGGCGAACGGGUGAGGAAUACAUGGGUAAUCUACCAUCGAGUGGGGAAUAACCAACCGAAAGGUUGGCUAAUACCGCGUACGCCUCCGGAUCUUCGGGUUCGGAGGGAAAGCUGCACUGUGAGUGUAGCGCUCUUUGAUGAGCUCAUGUCCUAUCAGCUUGUUGGUAGGGUAACGGCCUACCAAGGCUUUGACGGGUAGCUGGUCUGAGAGGACGAUCAGCCACACUGGCACUGCGACACGGGCCAGACUCCUACGGGAGGCAGCAGUAAGGAAUAUUGCGCAAUGGGCGAAAGCCUGACGCAGCGACGCCGCGUGGAGGAUGACGGUUUUCGGAUUGUAAACUCCUGUUAAGCGGGAAGAAAGCCUUGUUCUAAUACAAGCAAGGUAUGACGGUACCGCUAGAGAAAGCACCGGCUAACUUCGUGCC
This 496-nucleotide ribosomal RNA is filed under the name uncultured bacterium. Its description in RNAcentral is "partial 16S ribosomal RNA". It matches the Rfam family "Bacterial small subunit ribosomal RNA", at positions 29 to 509 of the family's 1533-position model. The record is from RNAcentral.